Molecule: unclassified non-coding RNA, 763 nt
Filed under: Hevea brasiliensis (rubber tree)
Lineage: Eukaryota; Viridiplantae; Streptophyta; Magnoliopsida; Malpighiales; Euphorbiaceae
Source: RNAcentral
AAGUUGCUAGGAAACCCAAGAAACUACAAAUUUGAAUUAAUAGAUCUUGGCAAUCUUUGCUGAGAUCUUUCAAUGAACUCUCCCUUGCAGUGAAGAGCUCACCAUUUAGGUGAACUCAAUCAAAUGACACAGACCUCCAACAGCUUCACAAUCUAAGGAUGUCACAAUCAACACAAUACACAUGAUAGAAAUACCUCACAACAUGUGCUAUAGUGCUUCCCUUCACAACCUUCUGCAUGAUCACAACCUAAAUAGGCCUGCAUGCUCUUGUCCAUAUGGACAUUUUCAGCAUGCACACAAUCAAAAAGGCUCCACAGGCACAGCCUAUCAGACUCAGAUCUCAUAAUUUUCAAAUGAAUUAAUCUCUGAAGAAUUCGUUGGUGGUUGGUGAAAAUUUGCUGAAAUUCUCCGAUAUUUCUGAAUUACCAUCAAAGCUGGGACCUUAAUAAUCUAUUAGACAAAAUUCUCUUGUUUGAGUUUGCAUUCUUGUAACAAAAACCAAAUUGGCACCCAAAUUUGGAUUCAGAUGCAUGAUUUAUAAUGGCUAGUUAGCGUUAAGGUUAGCGGAUGGUAAAGUAUUUUCUUGGCUCUAAUAUCUUCUUACAAAUUAAUUUAAAAAAUUAAGGAUUUACUAACAUUGCAAAAAAAAUUAUAAAAUAAUAUUAAUUUCUGCCUCAUCAAUAUUUUCAGAUUAAUUCAUUCUUGAUAGAAUUCAAUUGUUUAAAAAUAAAGUUCAAAAAAAUACAAAAUAAAUAGCACAAAU